CUUCCCCUUAUUUUCUUUUUCUCUACGUUAGCUGAUCUUGGCCUAGGUCUCAGGCCUAGCGCGUUGUUGCUGCCAUCGCGACCGCCACUGCUGCUUCGAGAGUGCUUUCUCCUGAGCAAACUGGCGUUUCAUGACACAUUUUCGGUCGAACUUGGCCCAGAAAUAACCGAGUUGGAAAGUGAAUCAACCAGCAACGACAUCACUGCCGUCGAGUGAACCACAUCGUUCUCAUCUCCGAUGACGAGGACAAUGGAGUCUACUCCUGGAGAAUGGAAGGAUCAGAAACUUUACACUGCCAUGGAAAUUUGCCACCUAGUCGUUCCAUCUCUUUCUUCAUCUCGAUCUCUCGCGGAGACACUCGCGAUUCUCGAAGGCGAAAAAAUCGGUCAGACACCCGAGAAGAAUAGUGUACGUUUCUUUUGAUAUUCGCGACACCGUAAAUGUUCCGCGAUAAACCGUACACUGCCGAUGUAGUAAGCACGAUAAGAUGCUAUUUUUUAAAAUUUAUAUCGCGUGUUAAGACACAGCGGAAACGCAGUGAAACGUGGCUCUCACGAGAAGAACGACACUUCAGCUUCGGUUAUCACCGAAAAAAUUUUUGUUUCUGUCCGAUACCGCUUUAUCCUUAUUAUCACUGCGGUUACUACUGUUAGUCGCUACCUGUAUUGUCUGCCACUGAUCGAGAUAUUUAUGCGCGCAACAACAUCGCGCUGUUACCGUUAUCGCUACACUAUCAACGUUGUCACGACUAAUGUGAUCACCGUUACUAUAUCUUUUUCCUGUUGCUUCGAAUGAUAUCGUCGAAUGAUAUCAUACACACAUAUGGAUUGCAGAAACAGUAGAGUUGAGAAUUGUUGUUUAGAAAAAUCCCGUUUUGCUCUCUUGGCGUGGCUCUUUAAUAUUCACGUUACAUAAACUAUCAAGAAUUAUGCAGUUAAUGUAGAUAAAUUGAAAUGAGGCAUUAAAUCACUUUAUUACCGUAAACAAGAUCAGUCUUGAUUUACAACGGAGUUUCACAUACUGCGUUUAAAAAAGAAAAAAUUAAGCGCAGCGAGUUUUAGCGAAUUUCAGAAAAAUAAAUGAUUGUCAAGAUUUGUAUUUUUUAAACGUAUAUUAUUUUAUCGAUUUAAUAUUUGGACAUAAUCGAAAUUGCUAAAAUGAUUCGUCAAAAGUUUCAAAUUAAGUUUGCUUGCUUUUUUUUCCAAGUAUUGGAUUCGAUUAACAUAUUUAAAAUUACAAAUUAAGAAACUAAGCGAUAAACGCAGUACGUCACUUUUGCCAAUCAAAAAACUCAUUCCUGGAUAAAUUUUAAUUAAUCCUUUUUUUUUACCAAGGAGUAACCGGUUUUUAUAACGAAUUUGGCAAGUCUGUUCGAAAUCGAUGAUUAAAAGUAACAUUCGCGCACGGAAAUAGCCGUUUACACAGAAGAUACAUGAAUACCUAACAAAUUGAUUGUUCGCGCUCGUACGACGUACGGCGGUGUCCUUCGAAUGUUGGCGCGAAAUCGAUCAGGCACCUUCGCGAUUAUUAUCAGGAAGCGAUCGCAGUGCAUACGCCGGUCGCGCAUUGUUACACAUAACUUCUUUCUGUCGGUUAUGUCGUAAUGCGCGAUUCGCGCGUUUCGAACCACGACGACCGCGUACUUUGCAUUCCUCGCAUACAUCGACUCGCUUGGUGCGCGAGCUGCGAGCUCAUUGCAACUCGCUCUUGCACACGAGCACGUACGAGCGCACAAGCACGAAUACAGCUCGAAGCGUUGAGCCGCGCUUCUGCUCGAGCUGGAGCGCGUGUUCUUCACCUACGUAUAUGUGUACGAGUUACCGUAUUUCUCUUAAUUACCACAAUGAUCGAGUAGCAUAUAGGUAAACGUUCGCGUUCUAUCUUUAUUUCUUACUCUUUAAUUAUUAUUCUAAUUAUUAUCAUCUUUUACCAUUAUUAUUUUUAUCAUUAAUCUAUUGUAUUAUUAUUAUCAUCUUUAUUUCAAUUAUUAUUAUUAAUAUAAUUCUUGUUUUUCAUUGUUACUCGUUUAGUGUAUUUCGAGACUCUCUUUCUCUCGCGGCUCUUCUUCGUUAAGACGCCGAAUUUCGUUAUGAGGAUGACGAGUAUGAAAGCGAGAACGAGCGGGAGGAGAUAGUCGAAGAUGCGUGUUCUUUUAGAGAGUAAAGAGGUGAGAACGCGUGCGUGCACGGGGAAGGAUGCGAGUGUUUCUUUUUUUUUCUUUUUUUUUCUUUUUUUUCUUUUAGUACAAAUGCGUGUGCGAGAGACAAGCGGGACUGAAGGAGAAGCGAAGAAAGAGAUAAGAGAUAUAUAUACAUACGAUAUAUAAAUAAAUAUAUAUUUUUGUACCUUUUAUCUCGAGGAAAAUCGACACCUCGAUAAUCGAGACGCUCGCGAUCGACCGUGAUCGACGCCGCGCGUCCGAUGGCGGGCUUACCGUAUCAUAUAUCUCUCUCUCCUCGUCAUGAUCCCCGUGACCUUUUCCUAUUGGAACGCAACGAUCCAUAAGGCCGAUAAAGAGUUCGUUACUUGAGGUCACGUUCGGAAGAGCGCGUCAAUAAUUUCUAUUAUUGUAUUAAUCGUGAAUCGUCGCAAUUGUCGCCGUAUGUCUGAACGUUACCCCGACUAAGUUCCACGGCGUUGGUAACGAGAUUCUAAUUCCGGAAACUGUCUCUUAAAUUAAUUUUUCCUUCCGCUCCCGUGCGAAUCGUAGGUAGAUUGUAACUGUUUUUCUUUUUUUUUUUCUUUCUACAACAAAAAUGAUAAGUGCGAGAGAAAUAAAGAAUAUGGAACAAGCUGUCGAGCGUUGGCGGUAGCCCUUUUUGUCCCGUCACCUCCUUCACCGCUUCCUUUGUGUCAGUCUUCAAGGAUAACGCAAUAGAACUAUUUUGUCGUCCGUGAACGGCUUCUCGACUUUCUAUGAUUGAGUCAUUUCUAAAUGCGAUGCUUUUUUUCCGCCCUCUUUCUUUUGCCCCGCUGCCUUUUUGAUCGUUUUGAGAACGAGAUCCGAUCGAUUUCUUUAUUCCAACAAUAAAAUGUAUACUCAAUAAAGAGAUUCUUUGAUUUUUA
Long non-coding RNA from Solenopsis invicta (red fire ant), 3066 nucleotides. RefSeq lists it as uncharacterized. The record is from RefSeq and is a predicted model, not a curated record. The transcript has 2 exons. NCBI's taxonomy places the organism in Eukaryota, Metazoa, Arthropoda, Insecta, Hymenoptera, Formicidae.